AUGUUUUCUGUUUAAAAGGUAC
This 22-nucleotide non-coding RNA is filed under the name Rattus norvegicus (Norway rat). The record is from RNAcentral. Lineage: Eukaryota; Metazoa; Chordata; Mammalia; Rodentia; Muridae.